This 822-nucleotide long non-coding RNA is filed under the name Medicago truncatula (barrel medic). RNAcentral's name for it is "lncRNA gene38587". Lineage: Eukaryota; Viridiplantae; Streptophyta; Magnoliopsida; Fabales; Fabaceae. The record is from RNAcentral.
GGAUAGAAUACCUGAAGGGAAAAGUCUAUCACACUUUUACUUACUUUCCCUUUUCUUUCUCUUUCACAUUCAGAUGCGUUUCAAUUUUUAUUUUUCAUCGUUCAUAUCGCUCGUUCAUCUCGUUCAUCCUUCAUCUUCACAUAAACCCUAAAUCUCACUAACCAAAUCAACAAAUCAUUCCGAACCCUAACUCCUCAAUCUCAUUCUCGAACCCUAACUCCUCAAUCUCAAACCUAAAUAUUAAAAUCCAAUCUCGAACCCUAAUUCAAUCUGUUCUCGAACGCAAUUCGUUCUCAUUCACUGUUUCCAAAUGGAUUGGCCAUCGUGAUUCUGCAAUUCGACAUUCACUUUGGAAGUUGUUAUUAACACACAUCUCCGAUUUGUGAACCCAUAGCUUUGAAAAUAUCAGAACUGGUGUUCUCAGUUGGAAAUUGUCAUCCUCAUUUGCCGUUGUUCUCGUCGUACUGCCAUGGAAUAAAUGCAUUUGCAGAAACAACGAGGGAGAAGUGACAUGCAAAAAUAACUAACAUGGUGAUCGUGCUUAGUGUGCAGUUGCCGUCGUGAGUGGCCUUGCCUUCACUGUGUCGUCUAGGUCGCUCUGAUACGUAACGGGAUGGGGUUAUAUGCUAUAACAUGCUUCAUUCUCUUACGUGGAUAAUAUGCUAUUUUUAUUAUGUUAUGGAAUAUGAACUAUUUUGAUGGGGCCUACGUGCCAAACUGAUUUAUGAUUUUUGAAUUAAAUAUUCCGCUGCUAUGUUAAAGAUAUUGUGAAGGUUAAAUUAUUAUUUAACUGUUUUGGAUUACGUUUCUAUGUGAUAUCCC